CUGCAUUUUGAACUUUGUGUUGGUGAAGAUUUCCUGAGAGCUGCUCAAUUUGCUGGUGCAGCCUGCCUGGAGUCCCUGCACAGCUGAGAGGUCUGUGGCCUAACGGAGCCUUCCUAAGAUUAAGACGACGUCUCGGCUUAUUCCGCGGACGGAGCGCUCGGCUGCAACCUGCUCGUGCCACUGAGUGCUGAGGGCUCCGCAGCGCUGUCGGGGCCACUCUGUGCCGCACACUUGAACGAGCUGCAGCCACAGAAUCCUGUCCCAGUGGGUUUGAAGUCCUGUGGCCCCCACACAGGUGUAGGCCAGACCCGCUGGUGAGGAGCCAGCAUCCUGCUCUCCUCAAUGAGCUUGAGCACUCUGUCGAUGUGAGCAUAGGACAUCUAUUUCUCUCUGUAAUAUGAUUCUUCUUUGCUUUUUUAUUUCAUUUUGAAGACCCCUCAAUAGUUAUUUACUGCAAAAAGUCAUUGGUGAGUGUGUGUCUCCGAGUUUGAGCAACAGAAAGGAAAACAACAGGUUCCUAUGUUUGGACUCCAGAGUAGCAGUCACAGAUCAGGACAUUUCUCAACAAGCAGGGCCAGCUCAGGAUGACUCGGAUCUUCCAUUUGCUUUCUGCAACACAAACCACCCUUGCCAAGCACAGCCUUGGGAGCUGGGUUGUCACACCUUUGCCACAGACCAAGAUGUCCCUGCAGACUAUCGAAGGUCCUGCAUAUGAAGAUGAUAUUUUUAUAGCUACAUCUCAGUUCUGACAUCCCAGCCAUCUGCCCUAGUAUCUCUGUGGUGGAAUCUUGCCUGGUUGUGGGUGGACCUUUGGAAGAGCUUCUUGUAGGCAAAGGCAUAUUCCAACCAAAAAAAGCCUUUCUUAAAAAUAUAUUAACUAAUGUAAAGCAUUACUUAUUCUCAUAAAAGUGCAGAAAAUCCUUGUAAAAAUAGAUACAAAUGCUCUCAAAAUUAGUGGUCUGUAGACCAGGGCAGCCUUCAGUGGAUGUACUUGAACAGGACUUUAUGUAUUUAUUUGUUUUUUCUCUGUUACUUCUUGCUGUUUGGAUUUGCCCUUGAACAUAGAGGGAGAUUUUAAGA
Molecule: long non-coding RNA, 1080 nt
Organism: Nothoprocta perdicaria
Lineage: Eukaryota; Metazoa; Chordata; Aves; Tinamiformes; Tinamidae
Exons: 2
Source: RefSeq, a predicted model, not a curated record